RNAcentral lists this ribosomal RNA (406 nucleotides) under uncultured bacterium. Its description in RNAcentral is "partial 16S ribosomal RNA". It matches the Rfam family "Bacterial small subunit ribosomal RNA", at positions 29 to 526 of the family's 1533-position model. The record is from RNAcentral.
AUUGAACGCUGGCGGCAGGCCUAACACAUGCAAGUCGAACGAGCGGCGGACGGGAGAGUUAUGUCUGGGAACCUGCCUGAUGGAGGGGGAUAACUACUGGAAACGGUAGCUAAUCCCGCAUACCAUCGGAUGUUCCCAGCGGGGAUUCGCUAGUAGGUGGGGUAACGGCUCACCUAGGCGACGAUCCCUAGCUGGUCUGAGAGGAUGACCAGCCACACUGGAACUGAGACACAGGCCAGGCUCCUACGGGAGGCAGCAGUGGAGAAUAUUGCACAAGGGGCGCAAGCCUGAUGCGGCAACGCCGCGUGCGGGAUGACGGCCUUCGGGUUGUAAACCGCUUUCAGCCAUGACGCGGUAGUGGCAGAAGAAGCACCGGCUAACUACGUGCCAGCCGCCGCGGUAAUUC